AGUUAAUGAACUUGUUAAAGUAUAUGUUUUGAAAGCAUAAAAAAGGAUUAAUACCCCUAUUAACUU
Molecule: transfer RNA, 66 nt
Filed under: Paroster microsturtensis
Lineage: Eukaryota; Metazoa; Arthropoda; Insecta; Coleoptera; Dytiscidae
Description: tRNA-Ser
Source: RNAcentral